GUCAAUUUAACCGUGGAAAAUGUGAGUUAGUAAUCAAAGCUUUCAAUAGGAAGACUAUGAUACAGAAACGCUGUUGCUCGCCAGUUUAGACUGCAACACGCAUUUCAAAGAGCUGUUGGUUUAAAAAAAUCCAAUACACCUUUAGCUAUACCCAAAUCAUUUAUUAAAACAUUUCACAGCAAUAUCACACUACGCUUAGGAGACAAAUACAUGAUUUAAAAAGGAUAACUAGCCUUGCGUUUUCCUGAAUAAUCUUUACAUAAAUGAGGCUUUUAAACUAAAAAAAUCUAAAAAGUUCCCUUGAUAGUUACAGAUGGUUUAAUCUUUGGAUUCCUCUGCAUGUUCAUUUUACUUUCAGCAUUAAUUAUAUAUAAUUGCUAUUCAUUCUAGCAAAACUCCAAAGCUUAACUGUAUAUCCUCAGUGCUGCAUGCAUUUUACAUAUAAAUGUUUGCAUUGCAUCUUAUGAGUGGUUUGUAUUGAGAAAAAAUGAGUACAGUUCAUUGUUUGUUAGUUCCUUUAAUAUUGUUUAAUUACUCUGUUAUAGGCUGACAGUAAUUAGGUUAUCUUUUCUGCAAAUGAGACAGACACUGUCAUGCUGAGAGAAAAAUGAAUGUCAUAUUUUUUCUAAUGUGCAAUGUUUUUUUUGUAUUUCUAAACUACGCAUCCUAUUUUACAGAAAGCAUGUUUUGCGUACCUGCAUUAAAUAUUGAAAACUAGUCGCUGUGAAUGGGGUUUAUUUACUAACCAGUGAGUUAUCGUUAGUUACCAACUAAAUCUGCCAAGUUAAAAAAAUAUAAAUGGAAAUUACAACUCAGCUAUUCAUCUUUUUCACUUCAGUUUACAAUUUAUCAAAAUUCACAUUUUAAUAAGUUAACCCAACAAUGGUCUAUUCAAUAAACACCAAACUAUAGUGAAAUGAAAGUGGAAUUCGGAAAUUUAGGCUCAAAUGGCCAAAAAUUGUGUGGUAUAACGGUGAUGUAUAUUUUUUCCAAAUCACCAUUUUUUGGGGGGUACAUUUUGAAAAUCAGUUUUUAAUUGACUGCAAUUUGGGGUUUCGUAUGUUCUUAUAUAAUGGGUAAGGAAUGUGCAGAUGGCAUAGCCACCUUUAAUAUACGUUUCCUGAAUUUAACCCCUUUAAUUAUUUGGUACCUGUAUUGGUACCACAAAUUAUAUGUUCAGAGAUUUAUUUAUUAAAAACCUGAAAUUAUGGUGAUAUGAUAAGGGGUGGCAAAUUUACUGCAAAAUUUAUUUAGGUGAAAAUACAAACCAACUAACAUAUACUAAUAAAAAGCAUUAUAUCAUCAACUUACAAAGUAGUCAACUUGUUAGGCCUGACUAUGCUUUUUUAAACAAUUUACAUUUCAGUAAAUUACACUCUCAGAGUUUGGGACUAGCAGUGUAAAUGACAUUGUAGUACCUUAUCAGUUAAAAAAAUUAGCCAAUUAGUGUAGUAAGUGUAAUAAAAGAUACAAACACAGGGAAAAUAUAUUUUAUAUAAGCUUUCCAGAAUAGAAUUCAUAAAUUGACAGAGCGAAGAUAGAUUUUUUUUUCCUCAAAUAAAUAUUUUAGAAUCAAAGUUUCUGUUUGUGUGUGUUUACAUUUCUUAGGCUUGUUAAGGAUCUUGAAUCCAUGUAAUAUUUUUUUCUGUUUUAGUUAUAAAUUCCAAACCAUGUGAUUAUAUUAUUUUACCUGAUUUCAUUCUCUUCCCAUCAGACUUGACUUGUCAGGUGAUUUUCUGGGCAUGCAUGCAUCAAAGACAAGUCUGAAUAUAAGUGCUUAUUGUCAGAGUGAAACCCAAUAUUUCAGAACAUUUGAAAGAAAAUAGAGAGAGGAUGCUGUCUGCAUGUUGGCAUUCUGUAAAGUCUGUUGGUAUUAUCGCUGAGAGCAGGUGGGGGCCAGUAAGAGCACACAGGGCUCCUCAUUAAAGGCUAACACAGUGGCUAUUAUUGGAUCAGAUCACAUCAGGUGAAGAAGAGCUGAACAGACUGAGCCUCUACCGACACCUGAAGCAGCCUAGUCUAGUCUGACCUUGAAGUUCAGCUGCCAAGGUCACUCCUAAUUCCUUUAGCCGCCUGCUUGAGUUUUUCUUUAGAAGGGAGGAGGUGUAAGGUUUAAAAAGAAGGGGCAUAUUUGGUGUACCGGGAAGAAGGUGCAUAUCAUCGCUAUACCAUUAAGGUGCUGACAGAUACAUCUCAAAAUAGAUAGAGGGAGGUAUUUAAAAAAAAAAAAAAAAUUUUUACAGAAGGUCACAAAUUUGCACUAUGCCAGCAAGAAAAUGUACUAAUUUAUAUCUAAAACCCUUUGAUCUUGAACUCAUCAUCCCACCCCAUACACAUGGAAUGUGGACUAGUGAUGUAUCAGUAUUUUAACCUAUAAACAAAUAAAAGACUUGCAGGCAUCUUAACUUAAUGAUUUUACAGAUCUAAUGCAGGGAGGGCUGUAUAAAGUUCCUCCAGCUGCCUGGUGUUUACUAGACAGUUUGUUGUAUUUACUAAGCCAUAAUAGAUGUUAUAAACUUACAUGUGUCACUUAGGAGCAAGUAUUUUAUUUGCACACAGUGUUAAAGACUCUAGGACAACACAGAUGUGG
Molecule: long non-coding RNA, 2590 nt
Filed under: Pelobates cultripes (western spadefoot toad)
Lineage: Eukaryota; Metazoa; Chordata; Amphibia; Anura; Pelobatidae
Source: RNAcentral